RNAcentral lists this long non-coding RNA (339 nucleotides) under Phoenix dactylifera (date palm). Its description in RNAcentral is "long non-coding RNA (PDAC_LNC007039)". Lineage: Eukaryota; Viridiplantae; Streptophyta; Magnoliopsida; Arecales; Arecaceae. The record is from RNAcentral.
CCAAAUCUGAUUUAAAUUCAAAUUUUAAACACAUGUGCAAGAGGGGAGGAAUUUGAAAUCCAUGCAGCAGAAUUUUCCUUCCUCUUGUCGCAUAUAUUUCAUUUGAAAUUCGAAUUUAAAUGAUUCAGAGGUUCACACGCCAGCUAGGAAAGUUAUUUGAUGUAUGAAAUCAUUUAAUAUUUUGCUUAAUGUUUGAAUUCAAAUUCAAACAACAAACAAUGUCGCCAUGUGUCAAGCAAUUGGUCCAUGCACCAUGCAAUAAUUUUGGUUUAUUUAAAAUUCAUGAAAUUCAAUUCCAUGUCACUACUAAUUGCCACAUCAUCUGAGCCUAAUCCUCUU